Acomys russatus (golden spiny mouse) is the source of this 142-nucleotide small nucleolar RNA. RefSeq annotates it as small nucleolar RNA SNORA48. NCBI's taxonomy places the organism in Eukaryota, Metazoa, Chordata, Mammalia, Rodentia, Muridae. The transcript has a single exon. The record is from RefSeq and is a predicted model, not a curated record.
UAUCCCUGGCAACGGGCAAAGAGGCACUUUGUUGGUGGUGGUGCUCUUGUAUCAGUCAGGGGCAGAGCAGUGGCAGGCCUUUGUUUAUUGUAGCUUGACACCGGCUUGGUGGCCAAAGCUGUCUUAUGCCUAGGACUCAUGA